CUCAAAUCUUGUUCAGGUUCUACAAGGGAGGUGGACAGUGAUAUGUACCAGCAAAAGGAAAGUACCAAAUGCCACCCUAAAGUGGGCAAAUAGGAAGAUUCAGCCUGCAAGGAAUGGACAUUUGCCAACAAGCUUUCAUUCUCUCACACCCUUGGAAAUGCUCUUUUUGUCUUUCCAUUCUCAGGCGCUGUUUUCUCCACUGUUUUUUAAAUUUAUUUUUUAUUUAAAAAUGUCUUGGUCUUAACAUUUCAGAUGACACAAGCCUGUGUUCUGACACCCAACCUUAUCCUGAGCCUUACAGCAAUUCCACUGCAGCUUCUAAGCCUCUGCCUGGACUCCACUAGGUCACUGGCCAACAGAAUCCAUUCUGGCUGCCCUAGUGUGAAGCAUGCUGGGAGCCUACUCAAGAGAGGGAACUGCACCCAGCACAAGAAGAUAGUCUUGGGAAUACAGUCUGUUUUUGAAGUUGUCUUCUUCAUUCUUUGCUAUGACUUUAUUUUCCUCUUCUCAAAAGUGACAAUAUGGUAGUGCAUUCCUUGGUAUGCCCUUGAUAGGUAAUGGGAAAGUCUGAAAGGUUUCCUUGAGAUCAGAGCUAAGCGGCUGCAUUAGAUUAAUAUAAUUUUCUUGCUUAAACAACAACCUUGAAUAUCCAACUCAUUCCAAUUCAACACACACCCAUUGGGUAUUUACCCUGAGGAGCUAACACAAGGCUCUGUACUAGAAAUUUCCAGUGUUAUUUAAUAAUUACAACAACCAUGAAUGUAACAGCCCUAUUUAUAAAGGAAAACAAAACCAAAAACACCCAUACCCUCAGAGAGGGUAAUUUAUUUGCUGAAAGUCAAAGAAGCCACAUCAAACCCAGGCAUUCAAACUCCAAAAUUGCAGACUGACUGUGGAAUUCAAGGCCUCCCAAACACUCUCUCUCUACCUAAGUAUCUGCAAAGCCAGGUUGACAACCAUGCUUUUGUCCAACAUAGAAGAGUUAGAAGACCACUUUUCC
Molecule: long non-coding RNA, 1000 nt
Filed under: Urocitellus parryii (Arctic ground squirrel)
Lineage: Eukaryota; Metazoa; Chordata; Mammalia; Rodentia; Sciuridae
Description: lncRNA (ENSUPAG00010015837.1)
Source: RNAcentral